AUUGAACGCUGGCGGAAUGCUUUACACAUGCAAGUCGAACGGCAGCACGGACUUCGGUCUGGUGGCGAGUGGCGAACGGGUGAGUAAUGUAUCGGAACGUGCCCAGUCGUGGGGGAUAACGUAGUGAAAAUUACGCUAAUACCGCAUACGAGCUAUGGAUGAAAGCGGGGAUCGCAAGACCUCGCGCGAUUGGAGCGGCCGAUAUCAGAUUAGGUAGUUGGUGGGGUAAAGGCCCACCAAGCCAACGAUCUGUAGCUGGUCUGAGAGGACGACCAGCCACACUGGAACUGAGACACGGUCCAGACUCCUACGGGAGGCAGCAGUGGGGAAUUUUGGACAAUGGGCGAAAGCCUGAUCCAGCCAUUCCGCGUGCAGGAUGAAGGCCCUCGGGUUGUAAACUGCUUUUGUACAGAACGAAAAGGUUUCUACUAGUACUAGGAGCUCAUGACGGUACUGUAAGAAUAAGCACCGGCUAACUACGUGCCAGCCGCCGCGGUAA
RNAcentral lists this ribosomal RNA (499 nucleotides) under uncultured bacterium. RNAcentral describes it as "partial 16S ribosomal RNA". It matches the Rfam family "Bacterial small subunit ribosomal RNA", at positions 30 to 523 of the family's 1533-position model. The record is from RNAcentral.